AUUAUUAGAAAUGUUAUAUUGUUAGUAGAUAAAUAUAUGAAAACAAAAAGUUAUGGCGGUACCUCAAGCUUUUCAGAGGAAUUUGCUCUUUAAUGGAUAAAACGCCCAGAUCUUACUAGAGUUGGUAAAGACAGUUUGUAUACCACUAUUAAAGCAAUUAUUUGUUACAAUUGCUGUAAAUUUUACAAGAAAAAAAGUUAAGUCAAGGUGCAGCUUAAAUUUUAGGAUGAAGUGAAUUACAAUACUUUUUAGUAAUUUUAUUUUAAAUAAGAAAAAUUAGGAUUUGAAAGUAAAAAUUUUAAUAGAAUGAUUAUUUGAAUUAAGCUCUGAGAUAUGUAC
Molecule: ribosomal RNA, 339 nt
Filed under: Amblyomma cajennense (Cayenne tick)
Lineage: Eukaryota; Metazoa; Arthropoda; Arachnida; Ixodida; Ixodidae
Description: partial 12S small subunit ribosomal RNA
Source: RNAcentral